UACACCUGAUAAAAUCAGAGAAAUCGAAUUCCAACGAAUUGGGUCCGUAGAAAAUCCAUUUCUCAGUACAUAUCGAUCUUUUCUGUCUAGAUUGUCAUUUGGGUUUUGUUGUAUAUAGAAAGAGAGAGUUGGGUGUUACGAAAAUCCAUUUCUCAAAACACAAAUUUGAGUUCUUUGUCGCUUUUAAUUUGGAUUCUGUUGUAUUGAGAGAGAGAGAGAGAGAGAGAGAGAGAGUUGGGUGCGAAGAAAUCCAUUUAUCAAUACAUAAAGAGAGGGCUGGGUUUGAAGAAAAUCCAUUUCUCAAUACAUACAUAUGAUUUCUUUGUAGAUUUUAAUUUGAAUUUUGUUGUAGAAAGAGUGAGAGAAUGAAGUUCUGUAAGAGAUAUCAGGAAUACAUGCAAGGGCAGGAGAAACAGCUUCCUGGGGUUGGAUUCAAGAAGCUGAAGAAGAUUUUGAAGAGGUGUAGGAGAGAAGUUCAGCCCCAGAAAGAGAGAAAUGCGAUUCUCCCCAUGCACAAAUGCCCAGAUCAAUGCACGGUGUGCGACGGGACUUUCUUCCCCUCUCUUCUCAAGGAGAUGUCUGAAGUCGUCGGUUGCUUUAACGAGCGAGCACAAAAAUUACUCGAGUUGCAUUUGUCUUCGGGGUUCCGAAAAUAUUUUAUAUGGUUUAAAAGCAAGCUGCAAGGGAAUCACAUUGCUCUGAUACAAGAAGGCAAAGAACUGGUUACUUAUGCGAUGAUUAAUGCCAUUGCAAUUAGGAAAAUUCUGAAGAAAUAUGACAAGGUCCAUUACUCUAAGCAAGGUCAGGCCUUCAGAUCACAAGCCCAAAGCAUGCACAUUGAGAUUCUCCAAUCUCCAUGGCUCUCUGAGUUGGUGGCUUUUCACAUUAACUUGAGGGAAAGCAAGUCUGGAAAAACGACUGUUCAUGGGUUGUUUGAGGACUGCUCGCUCACAUUCGACGGUGAUAAACCAUCACUCACAUUUGCAUUGUUUGAUUCUGUCAAGUUGGAUAUCGACCUUACUUGUUCUAUCUGCUUGGACACAGUAUUCGAUCCGGUUUCUCUUACAUGUGGCCAUAUCUUUUGCUAUAUGUGUGCUUGUUCUGCUGCAUCAGUGACCAUUGUUGACGGAUUAAAGUCCGCAAAACCCAAAUCAAAAUGUCCUUUAUGCCGUCAGGAAGGAGUAUAUGAAGGUGCUGUGCAUUUGGAGGAGCUGAGCCUUUUAUUGAGUAGACGCUGCCACGAGUAUUGGGAGCAACGGCUGCAAAGAGAGAGAGUAGAGCGUGUUCAGCAGGCAAAGAAGCAUUGGGAAUCCCAGUGCCGAGCAUUCAUGGGCGUAUGAGAGAAUUCAACACCAUCCGGGCAUGUUUUUCUUGUACAAAUAUUACCAGUGGGAAAUGAUAUGAUUAGGAUGUCUCUAUCAUAUUACAAUGUGGCCUCCCUUCCAACAUUCAUGUGGUAGGAGCAAGGUGUUCCGUAACGGUAACGGUGGCUGUAACGGCCACCACUAUUACCUUUACGAUACAGGGCAUAACGGCUGUUACGGCCCCAUAACGGCCGUUGCGGUCUCUCUCUUUUAUUUUUUUAUUUAUUGAAAAAAAACCCAGAAAAACCUAUAUCUGCCCUGUAAUGUUGAUUAAAAAUUAUGAAAAACCUGUAUAUGUCCCAUAAUAGACCAUUGCGGGGCUAUUAUGGCUUUUAUAAGGGAUGUAACGUGCCGUUAAUAGCAAUUACAUUUCAUUGUUUUUUCAUAAUAGCCAUUACGGCCGUUACGACCCCGUAAUGUGUAAUGGUUGCCACCGUUACCUUUACGUAACGGCCUUUACGGCACACCAUGGGUAGGAGGGAUGGUAGAUCAGGACUGUCCAUGUAGUGGGCCCCACCACAUGUAUGGUCAAUGGUUCAAAAGUCACUGAAUUAGGGUGAUUCUGGAUAUUUAAUUGGUAGCCUAAAAACAAUGGAGAAAUCCGAGGAAGUGAUAACUAGGAUUGUCAUGGAUUUUGAACCGUGGACCAUCCACAAUAGGGCCCACUAGGUGGACGGUCCCAAAUCACCAUCAAGGUAUUCAAAAUCGGUUACGUAAUAGCCUUACAUAACGGUAACGGUCAUAACCGUUAUGCAUUACUGGGCCGAAACGACCGUAAUGGCCGUUAUAAAAAAAAUAGGUCAUAAUGGCCCUGUAAUGUCCCGUGAUGGCUCGUAACGGUUCUGUAAUAGUUUUUUCAAAAAAUAAAAAGCAGCUCUAAUGGCUGAUACAUGGCCGUAAUGGCCGUUACGGCCCGUAUCAUGACGGUAACGGUGGUGGCCAUUAUGGCCACUAUUACCGUUUUGGAACACCUUGAUCACCAGAGUGGAAGGUGAUCUAUAUUAUUAUAUGAUAGAGACAAUCAUUUCCAUUUAUCGGGAGCCCUCGAUGUAGGGCUCUUGUGAUUUGCUAAGCUAAAACCAUCGAAGAAGAUAGUAUGAAUUGACUUAUCAACUGUUGCAUUCUACCCUCUUCGUUUGUCGUCGCUGCUGCUUUGUUGCUUCUAUAUUUUCUUCUCAACCAAUCACAGAACUGUAUAUAUUUUGCCCGAACGGAUGCAGCGGCAGUGAAGGAAUUAGAAAGUGCCGUGUUUGGAUGCACCAUCGAAUUGAAUUGUGAUAAUUAUGGGUGUUUUUCUUCUUC
Magnolia sinica is the source of this 2666-nucleotide RNA transcript. It is a transcript of the gene named probable E3 ubiquitin-protein ligase BAH1-like 1, with no coding region annotated. The transcript has 7 exons. NCBI's taxonomy places the organism in Eukaryota, Viridiplantae, Streptophyta, Magnoliopsida, Magnoliales, Magnoliaceae. The record is from RefSeq and is a predicted model, not a curated record.